CAAUUACACAAAUUGGCUGGCACAACAUGAUAUACUGCAGACAAGUUGUACGCUAGCUCAUUCUAAUUCAGAGAUGACCCCUAAUUCCUGGUGCGGGAGUCUUCCAGGCAUUGCAUUUGUUCUCUUGGUACUUGUAGAGGCGAAAGGGUUGGGAGAAAUGCUUAAAAUUUCUCCUUCUUCCAACAUGUGAACGACGACUUUCAUGGAAGGACGCUGGAUUGGAUGCCACUGAAUGCACCAGAGCCCAACAAUUGCAAGUUUCUUUGCAAUGUUUGCAUCUUCCUCUUCUUCAAUAUAGAUUCUCAGGUCUUCUCCUCGCUCUAAGAGAUUAUAGAUCCAUUCUGGAAAAUAGAUCUGGCAUGCAUUCUCUGCUGUAACUUC
Molecule: unclassified non-coding RNA, 381 nt
Filed under: Hevea brasiliensis (rubber tree)
Lineage: Eukaryota; Viridiplantae; Streptophyta; Magnoliopsida; Malpighiales; Euphorbiaceae
Source: RNAcentral